CAGCCGCCGCGGUAAUACGUAGGGUACGAGCGUUAAUCGGAAUUACUGGGCGCAAAGCGUGCGCAGGCGGUUCGUUAAGACAGAUGUGAAAUCCCCGGGCUUAACCUGGGAACUGCAUUUGUGACUGGCGAGCUAGAGUAUGGCAGAGGGGGGUAGAAUUCCACGUGUAGCAGUGAAAUGCGUAGAGAUGUGGAGGAAUACCGAUGGCGAAGGCAGCCCCCUGGGCCAAUACUGACGCUCAUGCGCGAAAGCGUGGGGAGCAAACAGGAUUAGAUACCCCGGUAGUCCCUGUCUCUUAUAA
RNAcentral lists this ribosomal RNA (301 nucleotides) under uncultured bacterium. RNAcentral describes it as "partial 16S ribosomal RNA". It matches the Rfam family "Bacterial small subunit ribosomal RNA", at positions 509 to 809 of the family's 1533-position model. The record is from RNAcentral.